This 497-nucleotide ribosomal RNA is filed under the name uncultured bacterium. RNAcentral's name for it is "partial 16S ribosomal RNA". It matches the Rfam family "Bacterial small subunit ribosomal RNA", at positions 28 to 507 of the family's 1533-position model. The record is from RNAcentral.
GAUGAACGCUGGCGGCGUGCCUAAUACAUGCAAGUCGAGCGAACGGACGAGAAGCUUGCUUCUCUGAUGUUAGCGGCGGACGGGUGAGUAACACGUGGAUAACCUACCUAUAAGACUGGGAUAACUUCGGGAAACCGGAGCUAAUACCGGAUAAUAUUUUGAACCGCAUGGUUCAAAAGUGAAAGACGGUCUUUCUGUCACUUAUAGAUGGAUCCGCGGUGCAUUAGCUAGUUGGUAAGGUAACGGCUUACCAAGGCAACGAUGCAUAGCCGACCUGAGAGGGUGAUCGGCCACACUGGAACUGAGACACGGUCCAGACUCCUACGGGAGGCAGCAGUAGGGAAUCGUCCGCAAUGGGCGAAAGCCUGACGGAGCAACGCCGCGUGAGUGAUGAAGGUCUUCGGAUCGUAAAACUCUGUUAUUAGGGAAGAACAUAUGUGUAAGUAACUGUGCACAUCUUGACGGUACCUAAUCAGAAAGCCACGGCUAACUACGUG